GGCGGCGAGUGGCGGACGGGUGAGGAAUACAUAGGAAUCUGCCCAGUUGUGGGGGAUAACGUAGGGAAACUUACGCUAAUACCGCAUACGACCGAGAGGUGAAAGCAGGGGAUCUUCGGACCUUGCGCGAUUGGAUGAGCCUAUGUCUGAUUAGCUAGUUGGUGGGGUAAAGGCCUACCAAGGCGACGAUCAGUAGCUGGUCUGAGAGGAUGAUCAGCCACACUGGGACUGAGACACGGCCCAGACUCCUACGGGAGGCAGCAGUGGGGAAUAUUGGACAAUGGGCGCAAGCCUGAUCCAGCAAUGCCGCGUGGGUGAAGAAGGCCUUCGGGUUGUAAAGCCCUUUUGUACGGGAAGAAAGCUUUCGGGUUAAUACCCUGGGAGGAUGACGGUACCGUAAGAAUAAGCACCGGCUAACUUCGUGCCAGCAGCCGCGGUAAUACGAAGGGUGCAAGCGUUAAUCGGAAUUACUGGGCGUAAAGCGUGCGUAGGUGGUUGUUCAAGUCUGUCGUGAAAGCCCUGGGCUCAACCUGGGAAUUGCGAUGGAAACUGGAUGGCUAGAGUGUGGUAGAGGAUGGCGGAAUUCCCGGUGUAGCGGUGAAAUGCGUAGAGAUCGGGAGGAACAUCUGUGGCGAA
RNAcentral lists this ribosomal RNA (636 nucleotides) under uncultured bacterium. RNAcentral describes it as "bacterial SSU rRNA". It matches the Rfam family "Bacterial small subunit ribosomal RNA", at positions 87 to 719 of the family's 1533-position model. The record is from RNAcentral.